This 336-nucleotide unclassified non-coding RNA is filed under the name soil metagenome. Its description in RNAcentral is "partial contains 5.8S ribosomal RNA, internal transcribed spacer 2, and large subunit ribosomal RNA". The stretch from base 1 to 120 matches the Rfam family "5.8S ribosomal RNA", at positions 35 to 154 of the family's 154-position model. The record is from RNAcentral.
GAUGAAGAACGUAGCGAAAUGCGAUAAGUAAUGUGAAUUGCAGAAUUCAGUGAAUCAUCGAAUCUUUGAACGCACAUUGCGCCCGCCAGUAUUCUGGCGGGCAUGCCUGUUCGAGCGUCAUUUCAACCAUCAAGCCACCGGCUUGUGUUGGGGACCUGCGGCUGCCGCAGGCCCUGAAAAGCAGUGGCGGGCUCGCUGUCACACCGAGCGUAGUAGCAUACAUCUCGCUCUGGGCGUGCUGCGGGUUCCGGCCGUUAAACCACCUUCAUAACCCAAGGUUGACCUCGGAUCAGGUAGGAAGACCCGCUGAACUUAAGCAUAUCAAUAAGCGGAGGA